GACGAACGCUGGCGGCGUGCCUAAUACAUGCAAGUUGAGCGCUGAAGGUUGGUACUUGUACCAACUGGAUGAGCAGCGAACGGGUGAGUAACGCGUGGGGAAUCUGCCUUUGAGCGGGGGACAACAUUUGGAAACGAAUGCUAAUACCGCAUAAAAACUUUAAACACAAGUUUUAAGUUUGAAAGAUGCAAUUGCAUCACUCAAAGAUGAUCCCGCGUUGUAUUAGCUAGUUGGUGAGGUAAAGGCUCACCAAGGCGAUGAUACAUAGCCGACCUGAGAGGGUGAUCGGCCACAUUGGGACUGAGACACGGCCCAAACUCCUACGGGAGGCAGCAGUAGGGAAUCUUCGGCAAGGGACGAAAGUCUGACCGAGCAACGCCGCGUGAGUGAAGAAGGGUGUCGGAUCGUAAAACUCUGUUGGUAGAGAAGAACGUUGGUGAGAGUGGAAAGCUCAUCAAGUGACGGUAACUACCCAGAAAGGGACGGCUAACUACGUG
This 497-nucleotide ribosomal RNA is filed under the name uncultured bacterium. Its description in RNAcentral is "partial 16S ribosomal RNA". It matches the Rfam family "Bacterial small subunit ribosomal RNA", at positions 28 to 507 of the family's 1533-position model. The record is from RNAcentral.